UGACCGCUGGCGGCGUGCCUAAUACAUGCAAGUCGAGCGAACAGAUGAGGAGCUUGCUCCUCUGACGUUAGCGGCGGACGGGUGAGUAACACGUGGAUAACCUACCUAUAAGACUGGGAUAACUUCGGGAAACCGGAGCUAAUACCGGAUAAUAUAUUGAACCGCAUGGUUCACUAGUGAAAGACGGUUUUGCUGUCACUUAUAGAUGGAUCCGCGCCGCAUUAGCUAGUUGGUAAGGUAACGGCUUACCAAGGCAACGAUGCGUAGCCGACCUGAGAGGGUGAUCGGCCACACUGGAACUGAGACACGGUCCAGACUCCUACGGGAGGCAGCAGUAGGGAAUCUUCCGCAAUGGGCGAAAGCUUGACGGAGCAACGCCGCGUGAGUGAUGAAGGUCUUCGGAUCGUAAAACUCUGUUAUUAGGGAAGAACAAAUGUGUAAGUAACUAUGCACGUCUUGACGGUACCUAAUCAGAAAGCCACGGCUAACUACGUG
RNAcentral lists this ribosomal RNA (495 nucleotides) under uncultured bacterium. RNAcentral's name for it is "partial 16S ribosomal RNA". It matches the Rfam family "Bacterial small subunit ribosomal RNA", at positions 30 to 507 of the family's 1533-position model. The record is from RNAcentral.